RNAcentral lists this ribosomal RNA (497 nucleotides) under uncultured bacterium. RNAcentral describes it as "partial 16S ribosomal RNA". It matches the Rfam family "Bacterial small subunit ribosomal RNA", at positions 28 to 507 of the family's 1533-position model. The record is from RNAcentral.
GAUGGACGCUGGCGGCGUGCCUAAUACAUGCAAGUCGAGCGAACAGACGAGGAGCUUGCUCCUCUGACGUUAGCGGCGGACGGGUGAGUAACACGUGGAUAACCUACCUAUAAGACUGGGAUAACUUCGGGAAACCGGAGCUAAUACCGGAUAAUAUAUUGAACCGCAUGGUUCAAUAGUGAAAGACGGUUUUGCUGUCACUUAUAGAUGGAUCCGCGCCGCAUUAGCUAGUUGGUAAGGUAACGGCUUACCAAGGCAACGAUGCGUGGCCGACCUGAGAGGGUGAUCGGCCACACUGGAACUGAGACACGGUCCAGACUCCUACGGGAGGCAGCAGUAGGGAAUCUUCCGCAAUGGGCGAAAGCCUGACGGAGCAACGCCGCGUGAGUGAUGAAGGUCUUCGGAUCGUAAAACUCUGUUAUUAGGGAAGAACAAAUGUGUAAGUAACUAUGCACGUCUUGACGGUACCUAAUCAGAAAGCCACGGCUAACUACGUG